GCCUGGGUGGCUCAGUGGGUUAAGCGUCCCACUUCAGCUCGGGUCAUGAUCUCGUGGUUUGUGGGUUCGAGCCCCGCCUCGGGCU
Molecule: transfer RNA, 85 nt
Filed under: Felis catus (domestic cat)
Lineage: Eukaryota; Metazoa; Chordata; Mammalia; Carnivora; Felidae
Rfam family: tRNA
About the family: Transfer RNA (tRNA) molecules are approximately 80 nucleotides in length. Their secondary structure includes four short double-helical elements and three loops (D, anti-codon, and T loops).
Source: Rfam by way of RNAcentral